Molecule: transfer RNA, 76 nt
Filed under: bacterium
Lineage: Bacteria
Also listed under: 1 other name
Description: tRNA-Thr
Rfam family: tRNA
About the family: Transfer RNA (tRNA) molecules are approximately 80 nucleotides in length. Their secondary structure includes four short double-helical elements and three loops (D, anti-codon, and T loops).
Source: RNAcentral
GCCCGGGUAGCUCAGAUGGUAGAGCGCGUCCUUGGUAAGGACGAGGUCACGAGUUCAAUUCUCGUCUCGGGCUCCA